RNAcentral lists this transfer RNA (90 nucleotides) under Gammaproteobacteria bacterium. RNAcentral describes it as "tRNA-Ser". It matches the Rfam family "tRNA". From Rfam's summary of the family: Transfer RNA (tRNA) molecules are approximately 80 nucleotides in length. RNAcentral also lists the same sequence under 2 other names. Lineage: Bacteria; Pseudomonadati; Pseudomonadota; Gammaproteobacteria. The record is from RNAcentral.
GGAGAGGUGCCAGAGUGGUCGAAUGGGCCUGAUUCGAAAUCAGGUGUGCGGUCUCCCGUACCGUGGGUUCGAAUCCCACCCUCUCCGCCA